RNAcentral lists this ribosomal RNA (243 nucleotides) under uncultured bacterium. Its description in RNAcentral is "partial 16S ribosomal RNA". It matches the Rfam family "Bacterial small subunit ribosomal RNA", at positions 1249 to 1500 of the family's 1533-position model. The record is from RNAcentral.
GCUACCCAGCAAUGGGAUGCGAAUCUCGAAAGCCUGUCUCAGUUCGGAUUGGAGGCUGAAACCCGCCUCCAUGAAGUUGGAUUCGCUAGUAAUCGCGCAUCAGCCAUGGCGCGGUGAAUACGUUCCCGGGCCUUGUACACACCGCCCGUCAAGCCAUGGGAGCCGGGGGUGCCUGAAGUUCGUGACCGCAAGGAGCGACCUAGGGCAAAACUGGUGACUGGGGCUAAGUCGUAACAAGGUAAC